This 1290-nucleotide long non-coding RNA is filed under the name Nicotiana benthamiana. RNAcentral describes it as "long non-coding RNA (NBEN_LNC013614)". The record is from RNAcentral. Lineage: Eukaryota; Viridiplantae; Streptophyta; Magnoliopsida; Solanales; Solanaceae.
GAAGAGAGAAAUCAACGUUACAUUGAGGAAGCAGUAAUGCACAAUGAAUCCAAAAAUUUGCACUAGCGGUGUCAACUUGUUAUCACAACCUUAGUGUCACCUUAUUAUCACAAUUUUGAACAUGACUUUGGGUCUGAGGCAUUGGGUUCUAAAGCCUUUUAAAUUAAUAUUCGGUUUAUAUUCUUUUUAGACAAGAGAGGUUGCUCUGAUGUAAACAACUGCACUUCUAAUCGAGAGGUUGUGAGUUCGAGUCUCCUUAAGAGCAAUAUGGGAAGUUCUUGGAUGGAAGGAUACCGGGUUUCUAUUUGGAAAUAGCCUCUCUACCCCAGGGUAGGGGUAAGGUCUGCGUACAUAUGCCGGGUUUCUAUUUGAAAACAGCCUCUCUACCCCAGGGUAGAGGUAAGGUCUGCGUACAUACUACCCCCAUACCUCACUAAAUGAAAUUAUACUGAAUUGUUGUUGUUGUUCCGCUUAUUUUCUGUAGAAAUGUUUUUUAGAAAAUUUAUGUGUGGGUAUAAUUAAUAAAUUCUUCUACAAAGUGAUGUCGAAUUACGUCUAGAGAGUGACAUCGCAAGGCUCCUAAAGUUGAUUUUACACCAUCUAAUUAAUAAGAGUCUAGCUAUAAUGUAUAUCCGUAUGCAUACACGUAAUAACAACAACAACAAUCCAGUAUAAUUCCAUUAAGUGGGGUAUGGGAAGGGUAGUAUGUACGCAGACCUUACCCCUACCCUUGGAUAGAGAGACUGUUUCCAAAUAGAUCCCCGACAUCCUUCCCUCCAAGAACUUCCCACAUUGCUCUUGGUGAGACUCGAACUCACAACCUCUCGGUGGGAAGUGAGGAUUACAUACACAUAAUAUAAAAAGCAAAUUGCCGAUGGCUUCCACUAACAAUGGAAAUUGGACAGUGUCACUUGAAUUUACAGAAUACUAAAACUCACACACACAAAUUUAACUGAAAACAAGGACCACAGGUCACCACAACAUUAACUUUAGAAGCUUGAAACAUUAAACGAUCGUGUCAAACUGUCUUUGAGGACAAAGAAAAGUAAGGACAUGCCAAUGCUCAGAAAACCAAACAACAUUUGCUGAAACGAAGCAAGCCUAUUUGGUGUUCCAGUUGUUUGAAUUUGGACCCCCUGGUGUAGGAAUAGGUGCUCCUACUUGUGCUCUCACAGCUAAAGCCAUGAAGACAACCAUAAUUGCUGCUACAAAAACAAACUUUUCCAGAGACAUCUUUGCCUAUUUGGCUGGGGAAUUAAGUUUGUUCUUUAGUAUCUGAGUGUCCUAAGA